Molecule: transfer RNA, 64 nt
Filed under: Phoronopsis harmeri
Lineage: Eukaryota; Metazoa; Phoronida; Phoronidae
Description: tRNA-Tyr
Rfam family: tRNA
About the family: Transfer RNA (tRNA) molecules are approximately 80 nucleotides in length.
Source: RNAcentral
AUUUAGGUGGCAGAAAGGAGGCAUUAGAUUGUAAAUCUAACAAUGAAAUUUAUUUCCCUAUAUA